GACGAACGCUGGCGGCGUGCUUAACACAUGCAAGUCGAACGGAAAGGCCCUGCUUUUGUGGGGUGCUCGAGUGGCGAACGGGUGAGUAACACGUGAGUAACCUGCCCUUGACUUUGGGAUAACUUCAGGAAACCGGGGCUAAUACCGGAUAGGAGCUCCUGCUGCAUGGUGGGGGUUGGAAAGUUUCGGCGGUUGGGGAUGGACUCGCGGCUUAUCAGCUUGUUGGUGGGGUAGUGGCUUACCAAGGCUUUGACGGGUAGCCGGCCUGAGAGGGUGACCGGCCACAUUGGGACUGAGAUACGGCCCAGACUCCUACGGGAGGCAGCAGCGGGGAAUAUUGCACAAUGGGCGGAAGCCUGAUGCAGCAACGCCGCGUGCGGGAUGACGGCCUUCGGGUUGUAAACCGCUUUCGCCUGUGACGAAGCGUGAGUGACGGUAAUGGGUAAAGAAGCACCGGCUAACUACGUG
RNAcentral lists this ribosomal RNA (468 nucleotides) under uncultured bacterium. RNAcentral's name for it is "partial 16S ribosomal RNA". It matches the Rfam family "Bacterial small subunit ribosomal RNA", at positions 28 to 507 of the family's 1533-position model. The record is from RNAcentral.